CUCUCCCAGAUCGAAAGUCCGUAAACCCACGAUGUUUUGUAAGGCAACGAUGUUUUUCGAUCAGUUCGAUGAACUGGUAUGCUGCGCAUUAGAGUGAAAGAGAGAGCAAGCUUUUGAUUUUAACCGAAGUUUCGCAAAGCAUGCUAUCUCGCUCUUUCAUGUUUGCGAAUUUUUCGUCAGUUCUGUCAAACGAAAAAAACAUGGCGUGCACGUUGGCUCUGUCGCGAAAGAGUGCUUUGUGGUCGGCUUUUCCGGGAUUGUUCCGGGUUGUUUGUCAAAUCGGCAGGCCAAGAAACGCUCCCAGAUUGUCACCUUGUUGAUCGAGAGUAGAUUUGAAAGGUAACUUAUAUUUUUUACUUUGCUUUAUUUGUUUAGAUUUGCUACAAGCUUUUACUAAAAAUUUGCAUUUUCAGGCCGGACGACGCGUGCAGGUGGUGCAGCCCCAAGAUGACGGUUUUGCUAGCUGGCCGUCGAUUAUUGUGUCCUCAAGUUCAACCCCGCCGGGACGCGGUCUUUGGCACGAUUGGCUUGAUUCUUGUGCACUUUCGCUACACCCUUUUUGUCGCGAUCAACGGCGGAAACCUCCUCCAGGCUCAUUCACCGCCUGAACCCCCACCCGCCAACUCCGGAACAUAACCAAGGCAGCGGAACUGACUGCAAAAACCAGCGCAGUUGAAGUCAAAGUCGCUGAUUGUGUUCCGGAUCACCGCUAGCCUGAAUGCACCCGUCGAAAAGCUGCAAAGGAUGACAUAACCUUUGUCUAACUGAUCACGCCUGUGCGCCGGAACAUGAGUGCAAACCCGCGAUUUAGUUGACCGAGAAGAGCUUAAAAUUUGGUGAGAAAGAAGGUCGUCAAUUUGUCGGCCGCUGGUCAACAUUGGGCUGGACGUGCGUGAGAACAUGCCACUGUUGUUCUUGGAGAAUCAACAACGGUAAAGAGCUCAAGCAGUUCGAAACUUCAGGACAAUUUAGGGAUUUAUCUUUUCAGGAUUUCAUUUUAAAAAAAGUCUCGAGAGUCGGCCGGCUCAUCAGCCCUGAACAACAAUAACGACUCCAGAACAAACCGCACGGAUAACAGCGCAGAAUUAUCAGCAUCUUCAUUCCUCCACGACGGAGUUUUCGACGUCCUUGCAGAUGCAUCUGCUGCAGGAAGUACAGCACCUGGCGCUGUGAAAAUCGCCGGAACGCAAACUCGAGCGUGCUCACAAACAACGAUUCCAACAGACUGUUCCGGAACCGGUCCGCACUCCAGCACUCCAGGAACAAACUGCUCCCGAUCGAAGGAUCCGAGUACCAAUCUUUGCGCGUUCUGCGCGGCAUCAGUGAAGAGUAUGCCAAAGAGUAGUUUCUUCCACCUGGCGUGAUAAAUAAAAAAAAAUCUGGUAAGUUUCUUCUAACAUUUGCUAGUUUCUGUGUAAUAAUUCUUUUAUUCUAUCACAUAGGUUCUUUCCCGUUACCAUGCUCAAAACCUCGCUCUUUGACCGAGGAGAAUAAACAAGCUGUCUAUUUGUGCGUCGCAGGAUAAGUCCCGGAUGUCAUCGGCCGCCACCCGGAGUAUGGCAUGGCACCGCUCACGACAGUCGUGGACGUGCAUGAAGCCGAUCUGUCCGAUCUGGUCCGAUUCGCAAGCUGCAUAAUCUUUCCAUUUUGGACUCGCCGGUUCCGAGAUUUUCGCCGACGUUGUUGGCCAGGAACACCGCAAAGUUGAUCGAAUCCGUCGAGAUGACGUCAAGCAAGGCGGCGGUUGCCAAUACGAGCCAGCAGCAGCUAUCAAAAUAACAUGCCUUUUAUCGAGCUGACCACACCCGAGCGCCAGAACUAUAGUGCAUACCCGCACACGCCGUUUCCUGUGUCGGCCGAGAAUCUGCAAGUUCAAAAAAAGGAGAAGCAGCAGUGUGCGCCAAAGAAAGUAAUCAAACCGUCGCUCGAUGGCCAACCUUGUGGAGAACGUGCGCGACAACAUGGCCACGGCUGGUGUCGGAAAGCCGGUCAAACCGCCUGAAGCGACCUGCUAUCAAGUAUAGAAAUGCAGAAGUACAAUUGCCAACAGAUCCAGCAUCCACGUUUGUCCGGCGGAACCGAUUCUCUGGCAGUUUGUAAACAAAGCGGUCAAGAAACUGAAGAAAGACGAACGCGAAGCAACCCAUCCGUCGGUCGCGUGCCAUUUCGUUGAUCGAGGAGAAAUUGGAACCUGACUUGCUGGUGGGUUACGCCCAGAUGUAGUUCAUCAUCAAGUGCACCGCGCCGGACCCUGUCCCACGGAGCAGGAUCUCCUGAAGCUGCACAGCUGGGUGGUUCCGGCGAGACUCGUUGAACGCCACAGGCUCGGCUUCGCAGAAUACCUCUAAAUUACCGCUCAACGCAGGGCACACACUUUGGCUUCGGCGACUUUAUCAUUUCAUCCAAGAGAACGAAACUUGACCACCUGGGAGAUGGCCAAAAAGCAGCCGGUGGCAGCGGAAUCAGUGCUGAAGCAGCACAGGUAGUCGAUUCUGGUUUCGCACCCGGCGAUAUGUUCCGUUGUGGCCAACUCGAUAAAUAUAAUAGCGCAGAAAGAGAAGCAUAUCAGCAAAGUGUCAGCCGCUGGCGUGCAGGAACCAACGGGACAUUCAAGUUGCGACCAACUUGCCGGUUCCAAAAUGUUCGGUCAUGGUUCCACGAGUGCCCUUGGAGCAACUGGAGAGAUGUUUCGAGAGAAAACGAGCACGAAAGUGAUGAAACGAUGACUGGCGAACAGUUUUCUAGUGCACUUCAACACCGGUCUGCGCACCGGCCCCCUGGCACCAUCGGCAGGAAACGUGCCUCGAUGCAUCUCCCUGGCUAUCGAGUGAGCAUCAAGGCAGGACGCCUGCAUCGGUGAAAACGAACCCGGUUGGAAAUUGCACAGCUGGCAAAUUGGAACUUGGCCGCUCCGUCGAAGCCGCUGGAGAAGGUCUUCAAUGAACCAGAAUCCGUCCACGGAACAAGUUCGAUGAAUUGUUCCGGCCCUAGGAAUGCUUUCAGAGCGACGGGUAGGAUGCUCCACGAACGCGUCCAGGUCUAUUCCAACCAGAAACCUUCCACGUUCCUGAAAUUCACACCCCAGCCGCAAUCAGGAAAUGUCGGCCAUGGCCGUGGCAGUGCCCUUCGGAACGACGUUGCACAAAUCAGGCUCGAUGGACGUUCACUUCUCUACAAGUGUCCUCGGAACGACGGGUGAGAUUCGGCACGAACGCGUACAGAUCCAAAUUAACCAGAAUAAUCAUGGCUCUGCAAAUGUCUCGGAACUACGUUGCACGGAUCAUGCUCGAUGGUCACCACCAUGAAAGUCCCUCGGAGCAUCGGAUUAAAUGUUGCACGAACGCGCCAGAUCAACUUAAACCAGUCCACCUUCCUGGCCAAUUCUUUUUCAAAUGCCGCUUCAUGCAAUCCGGAAACGUCACACGUGACGGACAUUGGCAUAGACAUUCCCUCCGAAUGAUCGAACAGACACGACGCCCUGCAAAUGCCCUCGGAACGACGGAUAAAAUGCUGCAAGAACGCGUCCAAGAUCAGAUCAACCGGAGCCGGUCCCAACAUGCCUGAUGAUCAGACCCAAUCGGCCCCGUAGUUUUCACUGAGCAUUGGGUCGCGGAUGCCGAAGGCGACCGCAGCGCUCGAAAGGGCCCGCGCUGAUCUCGAUUCCCAAGACAAACGUCAUCUCAGCAGAAUUGACCAACCAGAGCAUAAGGCGUGUCCUGGUUCGGGGUUGUCUUUGAUGCUGGCAGUCCAUUCGGAGGAGGAUGACGGGACGGUGGUUGACCUCCCGUGGCACCAAGUAGAAUUAGCAGAUCAGCGGCGACCCGCAGAGUACGGAUUUUGACUUCCAAGACUAAACCAUUCCAGACUACCUUGGAGGAGUAGUUGGAGGCAGCGGAACCGGUGCCGUUGAAGGACAGCUCUAAAUCUAAAAUCCUGCUCCCGGACGAGGAGGAGUCGUUUUGAUCCGCAAGUAACACAAACCCCCGGGCGGAAAUCAAAACAUCACGGCAUGUUCCAGGUUCGCGACCCCGCAUCGACAUACACCGAAUAGAAUAAUCAGCGCCGGGCGGACUCCAUUCUCAAUCCGGCUUCCGCUCCCAAAACUCCCGGAACUUCGCCCCUGAUUGCCCACCGGAACUGACACGCGGGAAAGCCAUGACCCUGGAAUUGACGACGAGAGCAGCGCUGCACGGGACCCGGCCAUUGCCCCGUAAAUGUCCUCGGAACAAUACAGCAUCGCAGUGCUGUCAUGGUCCCCCAAGUACCCUCAGAAUGGCGAGAGAGAUGCUGCUCGAACACGUCCAGGUCCAGAUCCAACGGAAUUGAUCACCACGUGCUUUUCUCUCCUUCCUCACCGGUCAAUUUGAGUUUAAAAUGAAGAAAAAUGUCGGAAUAAAAUCGAAACAUAGCGAUUUAUUUAAAAAAUAAACAAACGAAACUCAAAAACGACUGUUUUAAUAACAACAAAUCGAAUGACAGAUGACAGAAAAAGAAGAAGAAGAGCACAAAAAACAGGUUGAUGCGCGUCUGAUUUUUCACCUUUACGUCGUUCUUACAUCGCCCCCGCACGUAGGCCUCUAGCGAUGUUCGAACAACCUUGACAGGUUGACGUUUUGGGUGCAAAACACCUUGAUUCGGGUCUGAUGCGUGUCUCAAAAUCAGACCCGCAUCGGCCCCUGUAGGUCUGAUCGUAGCUCUGACGAUCAGACCCGAUCGGCCCCGUAUUUCUUA
Culex pipiens pallens (northern house mosquito) is the source of this 4731-nucleotide long non-coding RNA. RefSeq lists it as uncharacterized. The record is from RefSeq and is a predicted model, not a curated record. Lineage: Eukaryota; Metazoa; Arthropoda; Insecta; Diptera; Culicidae. The transcript has 5 exons.